This is a non-coding RNA of Pholiota molesta, 80 nucleotides long. Lineage: Eukaryota; Fungi; Basidiomycota; Agaricomycetes; Agaricales; Strophariaceae. The record is from the annotation of a GenBank genome assembly.
UCGGGUAUGGUGUAACGGCUAACAUUGCCGCCUCUCAUGGAGUUCCGCGGCAGCUCGGGGUUCGAUUCCCCGUACCCGAA